RNAcentral lists this long non-coding RNA (1165 nucleotides) under Mus musculus (house mouse). RNAcentral describes it as "predicted gene, 30676". Lineage: Eukaryota; Metazoa; Chordata; Mammalia; Rodentia; Muridae. The record is from RNAcentral.
GUGGACAAUCCCAAUAGCUGUGGGGAGAUGGGAGGCCUUUAGCAUAGCCAUAAUUUGGUUUGCAUUAGUUACUGAUCCUCCUUUUGUGCCCCCAUGAUAUACCAUCUGCACCCGAUGAGCAGAUCCUUCACGGGAGCAACAGUGGUCGAUGCAUAAGGAAGUCAUGAGUCCUCCAGUCCUUGCCUUUACUCUGCGAACAGAAACAAAUCACGGAUUUCACAGAACUGUAGGCUCCCUUCUGGAAAACUGAGCUAACACUGAUCAUAAAGAUCUCCCGAACCUUCUGCCUCACUCCUCCUGUUAUACCUGCCCUCAACUCCAGCACACUUUCUGGGAACUCACCACCCAAAGCCUAAUUGAGAAGCAAGAAGGCCAGCAAAGCAGGUCCAGGGUCCCACAAUCACAGCUCUAAAAGAUUCUCUGUGUGAAGUGUUUGAAGAAGUGGUGGACGUGACACUGAUCUUGGAGCCGCAUUCCCUGACUCUGUUAAGAGUGCAUUGUGUAUACUACAAAGCCACAUUGCCUUUCGGCAGAAUGAGCACCCAAAACUCAAGUCAUUACCAAGGUGAGAAAAAGAUAAAGUAAUGCCUUUUUGCAUUAUUUCCUCACAGGGUUGUUUUGUUUUUUAUGAUUGGUACAAGAAAGGAAAGAGAGAAGGUUUAACAGAGGAAAAUGCUGCCUCUCACUUGGCUGCUAGGAGACAGAAGGAUGCAUUCAGGGAACGUAUGUGAUGAGAGUUUUGGGCCCAGUCCACAGACACUAUGUGGAGAGGCUGAUAUGUCAGCCAGAAACACUCACUGAGCAGCAACAUUUUCAGAUCCACAGGAUACCAACCCAAUUCCAUCAAAAGCAGGACAUUAGUGAGACAUGCUGGUUUCAAGCACCAACAGAGAGAGGAAAAGCUCAAAGGCAGCUAUCUGAUGGAGUGGAACAUUCUGAAGGGUUGGCUAUUCUAAUUGCUUGACCAGUUCGGUGCCCCACCUCCCCCACUGCUGCACUGGAGGGCUAAGUGAUCAAUCCUCAUCAGCCUCAAUUCAGCAUCUGGAGUCUUAUAGGCUGGUGGGUGGGAAAGCAAACAGGAACAACUUGAGACAUAGAAACUGAAAAGGUGGGGCUAGAGAGGAUGAUGCUUGCAGGAGUAUGUGGGGGACAGCCCAGGAUUGCU